GGGUUGUGGCUUAGUGGUAGAGCGCUCGCCUCGCACAUCUGAGACCCUGGGUUUGAUCCUCAGCCCCA
This 68-nucleotide transfer RNA is filed under the name Marmota monax (woodchuck). RNAcentral's name for it is "tRNA.Ala". Lineage: Eukaryota; Metazoa; Chordata; Mammalia; Rodentia; Sciuridae. The record is from RNAcentral.